AGUGAACGCUGGCGGCGUGCUUAACACAUGCAAGUCGAACGAGAACGGAUUAUAGCUUGCUAUAAUUGUCAGCUAAGUGGCGCACGGGUGAGUAAUGUAUAGAUAACCUGCCCUCUAGAAAGGAAUAACAGUUGGAAACGACUGCUAAUGCCCUAUAUGCCUUUAAUACAUAAGUAUGCAAGGGAAACGCUUUAGUGCUAGAGGAUGGGUCUGUACGUUAUCAGCUAGUUGGUGAAGUAAUGGCUCACCAAGGCUAUGACGCCUAACUGGUUUGAGAGGAUGAUCAGUCACACUGGAAAUGAGACACGGUCCAGACUCCUACGGGAGGCAGCAGUGGGGAAUAUUGCACAAUGGACGAAAGUCUGAUGCAGCAACGCCGCGUGGAGGAUGACACAUUUCGGUGCGUAAACUCCUUUUAUAUAGGAAGAUAAUGACGGUACUAUAUGAAUAAGCACCGGCUAACUCCGUGCCAGCCGCCGCAGUAA
This 485-nucleotide ribosomal RNA is filed under the name uncultured bacterium. RNAcentral's name for it is "partial 16S ribosomal RNA". It matches the Rfam family "Bacterial small subunit ribosomal RNA", at positions 29 to 523 of the family's 1533-position model. The record is from RNAcentral.